RNAcentral lists this ribosomal RNA (250 nucleotides) under uncultured bacterium. RNAcentral describes it as "partial 16S ribosomal RNA". It matches the Rfam family "Bacterial small subunit ribosomal RNA", at positions 524 to 773 of the family's 1533-position model. The record is from RNAcentral.
GACAGAGGGUGCAAGCGUUGUUCGGAAUUAUUGGGCGUAAAGCGCGCGUAGGCGGCUUGGUAAGUCGAAUGUGAAAUCCCGUGGCUUAACCAUGGAAGUGCAUUCGAAACUACCUCGCUAGAGUGUCGGAGAGGGUGGUGGAAUUCCCAGUGUAGAGGUGAAAUUCGUAGAUAUUGGGAGGAACACCAGUGGCGAAGGCGACCACCUGGACGACUACUGACGCUGAGGCGCGAGAGCGUGGGGAGCAAAC